This 46-nucleotide non-coding RNA is filed under the name Schistosoma bovis. RNAcentral also lists the same sequence under 1 other name. The record is from RNAcentral. Lineage: Eukaryota; Metazoa; Platyhelminthes; Trematoda; Strigeidida; Schistosomatidae.
GCACUGCUGAGGAGUCCUACACUAGGACGAAACGGCUGUCCAGUGC